RNAcentral lists this ribosomal RNA (235 nucleotides) under uncultured bacterium. RNAcentral's name for it is "partial 16S ribosomal RNA". It matches the Rfam family "Bacterial small subunit ribosomal RNA", at positions 82 to 334 of the family's 1533-position model. The record is from RNAcentral.
CCCCGCAAGGGGAGCGGCAGACGGGUGAGUAACGCGUGGGAAUCUACCCAACCCUACGGAAUAACACAGGGAAACUUGUGCUAAUACCGUAUGUGCCCUUCGGGGGAAAGAUUUAUCGCCAUUGGAGUAGCCCGCGUUGGAUUAGCUAGUUGGUAGGGUAAAGGCCUACCAAGGCUACGAUCCAUAGCUGGUCUGAGAGGAUGAUCAGCCACACUGGGACUGAGACACGGCCCAG